Molecule: ribosomal RNA, 266 nt
Filed under: uncultured bacterium
Lineage: Bacteria
Description: partial 16S ribosomal RNA
Rfam family: Bacterial small subunit ribosomal RNA
Source: RNAcentral
UACGUAGGGGGCAGGCGUUGUCCGGAUUUAUUGGGCGUAAAGAGCGUGUAGGCGGCCAGAUAGGUCCGUUGUGAAAACUGGAGGCUUAACCUCCAGCUGUCGAUGGAAACCAUUUGGCUAGAGUCCGGAAGAGGAGAGUGGAAUUCCUGGUGUAGCGGUGAAAUGCGCAGAUAUCGGGAGGAACACCGGUGGCGAAGGCGGUUCUCUGGGCCUUACCUGACGCUGAGGCGCGAAAGCUAGGGUAGCAAACAGGAUUAAAAACCCGA